This 468-nucleotide ribosomal RNA is filed under the name uncultured bacterium. Its description in RNAcentral is "bacterial SSU rRNA". It matches the Rfam family "Bacterial small subunit ribosomal RNA", at positions 33 to 507 of the family's 1533-position model. The record is from RNAcentral.
GACGACGCUGGCGGCGUGCCUGACACAUGCAAGUCGGACGGUUCUUGUAUCUUCAAGCUUGCUUGCAGGUGCAAGGAUAGUGACGGACGGGUGAGUAACGCGUGAACAUCUACCCAUUGGAGGGGGACAACCCGUCGAAAGGCGGGCUAAUACCGCGUAAGCCGCGAGGUGAGAGGCUGCCUAUUGGUGGCCGCCGAUGGAUGGGUUCGCGUCCUAUCAGCUGGUUGGUGGGGUAACGGCCUACCAAGGCGAAGACGGGUAGCCGGUCUGAGAGGAUGGCCGGCCACACUGGAACUGAGACACGGUCCAGACUCCUACGGGAGGCAGCAGUGGGGAAUAUUGGGCAAUGGGGGAGACCCUGACCCAGCGACGCCGCGUGAGGGAUGAAGGUUUUCGGAUCGUAAACCUCUGUUGUACGGGAAGAAGAAAGUGACGGUACCUCCGGAGGAAGCCACGGCUAACUACGUG